Molecule: long non-coding RNA, 620 nt
Filed under: Anser brachyrhynchus (Pink-footed goose)
Lineage: Eukaryota; Metazoa; Chordata; Aves; Anseriformes; Anatidae
Description: lncRNA (ENSABRG00000005830.1)
Source: RNAcentral
CAAUAGUUGAGCUGGUGAAGCUGAGGUUGUUCUGGUAGGCUAUGACUUCUCUAGAUGUUUUCUGACUUACUUCAGAACAUAAAGUAGAGGGUUGUAUUGCUGACUUCACUCCCUGUGUUUUGGGUCAGGAGAGAGCUCCUUGUUUCUGGAUGGCCUCAGGUUGAUGACCCCUUCUGCCAACUUCCAUGUGGUGCACAACCAAAACAAAGUACAGCUCUCCUGAACCUGCUACCUGUCUCACAACAACUGAAAAACAAAUUGGAGUUACCUACACAAGAGUAGGUGCUGAACAGAACACAAAUCUCAACACACUGCCUGUUAUUGAACCACCAUUUUCAUAUUCCUGUUUUCACAGUUUCUACCAUCAUGUUUUCUUCUUACAGUCUGUUUCCUGCCCUGAGAGAUCAAAUUAAGAAUUGCCAAGAGUGGAAUCUUGUGAAGAUUUCCUUUCUUAAAGCUGUUUAUACUUAUUUUACACUAGAAUGAAUGGAAAAGACAUGGUCAAUCAAAGCUUUUCUUGAAUUCUGGAAGGACAGAGUACCACUGCACAUGCACUGAAGUACUUUCCUCCAAGAAAUAGUGUGGUGUUCCUUUUUUUUAAUUAUUUAUUUUAUUUGGGA